This 385-nucleotide long non-coding RNA is filed under the name Ictidomys tridecemlineatus (thirteen-lined ground squirrel). RNAcentral's name for it is "lncRNA (ENSSTOG00000032246.1)". Lineage: Eukaryota; Metazoa; Chordata; Mammalia; Rodentia; Sciuridae. The record is from RNAcentral.
AUAGGUAGACCUGCUGGUGACAGGCAUUUGGUACCAGAAUACAGCAGAGAGCAAGACAGAUGUGAUCCCUGCCUGCAUGGUGCUUACACUUUCUGAAAUGCAAAUGUCUCAUCUACACUGAAGCAAACUGUCGCUUGGAGGUGGAUUAGGAUGGAAUCUGUCUUGAGAGUAGAGUUCCUGGCCCCUGGCUCAAGUAUAAGGAAGAUCCCUCUGGUUGUGGCAUUGAUGGACAGAAGGUGGUGAGGCUGGACAGAGAUGGACUACACCUGCAAGUCUCGGCUCAAGGGUCAGGAGACCAGAGAAGACACCAGGAAGCCACAGAGUUAGCACUCCAUUAACCCAAGACAGGAGUCAGAGCACAGAGAUCAGCUUAUGGCUUCUGAGG